GACGAACGCUGGCGGCGUGCUUAACACAUGCAAGUCGAACGGAAAGGCCCCUUUGGGGGUACUCGAGUGGCGAACGGGUGAGUAACACGUGAGUAACCUGCCCUUGACUUCGGGAUAACUUCAGGAAACUGGGGCUAAUACCGGAUAGGAAUCCUUGCUGCAUGGUGGGGGUUGGAAAGCUUCGGCGGUUUUGGAUGGACUCGCGGCUUAUCAGCUUGUUGGUGGGGUAGUGGCUUACCAAGGCUUUGACGGGUAGCCGGCCUGGGAGGGCGACCGGCCACAUUGGGACUGAGAUACGGCCCAGACUCCUACGGGAGGCAGCAGUGGGGAAUAUUGCACAAUGGGCGGAAGCCUGAUGCAGCAACGCCGCGUGCGGGAUGACGGCCUUCGGGUUGUAAACCGCUUUCAGCAGGGGCGAAGCUUGUGGUGACGGUACCUGCAGAAGAAGCACCGGCUAACUACGUG
RNAcentral lists this ribosomal RNA (465 nucleotides) under uncultured bacterium. RNAcentral describes it as "partial 16S ribosomal RNA". It matches the Rfam family "Bacterial small subunit ribosomal RNA", at positions 28 to 507 of the family's 1533-position model. The record is from RNAcentral.